AUGAACGCUGGCGGCGUGCCUAAUACCUGCAAGUCGAGCGCACAGACGAGGAGCUUGCUCCUCUGACGUUAGCGGCGGACGGGUGAGUAACACGUGGAUAACCUACCUAUAAGACUGGGAUAACUUCGGGAAACCGGAGCUAAUACCGGAUAAUAUAUUGAACCGCAUGGUUCCAUAGUGAAAGACGGUUUUGCUGUCACUUAUAGAUGGAUCCGCGCCGCAUUAGCUAGUUGGUAAGGUAACGGCUUACCAAGGCGACGAUGCGUAGCCGACCUGAGAGGGUGAUCGGCCACACUGGAACUGAGACACGGUCCAGACUCCUACGGGAGGCAGCAGUAGGGAAUCUUCCGCAAUGGGCGAAAGCCUGACGGAGCAACGCCGCGUGAGUGAUGAAGGUCUUCGGAUCGUAAAACUCUGUUAUUAGGGAAGAACAAAUGUGUAAGUAACUAUGCACGUCUUGACGGUACCUAAUCAGAAAGCCACGGCUAACUACGUG
Molecule: ribosomal RNA, 496 nt
Filed under: uncultured bacterium
Lineage: Bacteria
Description: partial 16S ribosomal RNA
Rfam family: Bacterial small subunit ribosomal RNA
Source: RNAcentral